GCUUAGAGAGGGGUCAAUGUCCUAUCAGCUAGUUGGUAGGGUAAUGGCCUACCAAGGCUAAGACGGGUAGCCGGCCUGAGAGGGUGGUCGGCCACACUGGGACUGAGACACUGCCCAGACUCCUACGGGAGGCUGCAGUCGAGAAUCUUUCGCAAUGCCCGAAAGGGUGACGAAGCGACGCCGCGUGUGGGAAGAAGGCCUUCGGGUUGUAAACCACUGUCGGGAGUUAAGAAAUGUAAGGGUGUUAAUAGCAUCCUUACUUGACUAAGGCUCCGGAGGAAGCCACGGCUAACUCUGUGCCAGCAGCCGCGGUAAUACAGAGGCGGCAAGCGUUGUUCGGAAUUAUUGGGCGUAAAGAGCACGUAGGCGGCUUUGUAAGUCAGUUGUGAAAGCCUUCUGCUCAACGGAAGAACUGCAUCUGAUACUGCAAGGCUAGAGUACGGAAGGG
Molecule: ribosomal RNA, 448 nt
Filed under: uncultured Planctomycetota bacterium
Lineage: Bacteria; Pseudomonadati; Planctomycetota
Description: bacterial SSU rRNA
Rfam family: Bacterial small subunit ribosomal RNA
Source: RNAcentral